CCAUGACUGCAAGAGUCCAAGGUAUCAUCGCCAUGCCUCUCUCUCUCUCUCUCUCUCUCUGUGUUCUGCGUUCUGACGGGGAAUGCAAUGGGAGGCGGGUUGCCACCGUUCAUGGCCCCAAAAGCUGGUGGUCAUCCAUCGACGAAGACGAUGAUGGAGCCACAGAAUGCAGAAAUAAAAUAUUCAAUGUGCGAUAAAAGCUCGAUGAUGGUCAAUGUGGCUUAUAAAACAUACAGUCCAGUUGCGGUGCGACUCCACAAUGUCGCGACGAGUGGACUCGGACUGCCACAACAACUCACUCCGAGUUGAACCGGUAAUAAGAGCCACAACACCGCCCGCCAAAAGCAACAAACCGCCCGCCAAAAGCAACAAACCGCGAGGGCUCGCCAUCGAUUUCUACCAGACUACCGCGACGGGUUUCUCCCCCCCCCCCCCCCCCUUCCCCUUUCCCUCCUCCUAGCUCUGGCGUCUCGAUCUCAGCCGCCUCAUCCGCCUCCGGUACCCCUCGUUGUCCUCCUCAUUCGGCGGCUCCCCUCCUCUCGCCUGCUGCGGCGGGAUCGGCCGAAGCGAGUUCUCGACCGGUGUGCUGUCGUGGAAACCUCAUAUAUUGAUCUCCUCCGUCGUCGAAUGGGCUUCUCAGGUGUAUCAAUUUCAUAUCAUGAUUUAUCUAUCUCCUCCAUCGUGCUAUGCUGCUUCGAGAUGUGCAAAAACAUUUUGAUUGGCGUAUUCGAGAUCUGUGCACGUCAAAUCCUUUGGUCCCUCAGACAAUCCUACAAGAAAGAAAUCACGGCAAAUGUGCAGAAUAAUACGAGAUUCAUGAUUCACAAACAUGCGACCUCAGAAAUCCUUUGAUCGAUCCGAGAAACAUUCGAAUAGAGAGUUAGAUUUGGGUGCAGACACAUCAAAUCAGACAGUUCAUUUCAGAUAGUACAGACUGGCGAUCCGUUCAACAUCAGAGGCAUGAAUGGGGCCCGUACGUAGACCAAUUCCAACCAUGACAACUCCAAACACCGAGUGGGUUGCCUCUGCAUCAACUCUCACCCACCGUCCUGUAUGAUGGGUUCACUGAUCCACUCCAUCGGUCCCGUUCUUUCACAGAGAUGUCCAUGUCACUCAUCUUCCAUCAACAUCAAACAAGAACCCUCUCCAGGUAUGCGACCUGUCUCUACAUUCUUACAUUUAAAAGUUAAUACUUGUUAAUAUUUGAAUCGACUACUAGAGCAUCAGAACGAUGCAUAUCGGGAAUGAAUUUUUUUGCAGGUCAAUAGUAUUUUUAAUCUCUUAACAUGUCACUUUUUUUUUCAUCUUAUUCGUAGAGAUAAAAGUCAGACUACAGUUAGUUUGAUUUAAUCACAGCGUUAGCAAACUUGUUACCAUGUGGAGAAUAUCAUUAGAUAAGUAUGAAUAAAAUAAAUAAAUAUCAUUGAAUAUUUUAAUCCUCAAUCAUAUCGUGAAUUUUCAUCUCACAAGAAAAUAUCUUCCGCACCUUCUACCUAACACUUUUCUACAAAGGCGAAGGAAAAAAAAAAAAAGUGUUAGUGUCUCUUUAUAUUUGUGGUUGGGGAGUCACGGCAAGGCUUGACUCCAUAUGCAUAGGGUCGUUUGGUCCGAUACUCGGGCAGAGGAGAUGGGUGUCAGUCUUCAUGUGUCCAAUGUCUCGUCAUGUGUUUAUCGGAUCUCUGCACACAAGUCGGGAUCGGGAGAUUUCCUGACCCGACUCGACCCCUCCUAAGAUUAAGUUAGUUUUUUUUUCCCUUUUCUCCUCCCGGUACUGACCAGGGGUGAGUUUUUAUACCUACGUGCGGAGCCAAUUGUACUUGGUCAAUUAAUGUCUGUCGACCGCUGGGGCGAUCGACCCAUACUUCCCACGUGGGCGUCGAUCAACCCGUACGGAUUGAUGUCGAGCGGUGCCGCCCCAAGCUUUUCAGGGUGGCCACGUACCUUGCGGCACCGUCCUGAGUUUUUCGGGACGACAUCGAGCGACGUCAGCUCGGAUUUUUCGAGGUGGCAUGGUACCAUGGGUGGCUUUGUACAGUAUUGCGGGGAUCCGAACCCGGCAUGUUGCGAUCUGCCACCUCAGCUCUGUGCGACGCCCGGUGAUGAUGUGGCUGCAGGCCGCUGCCUAGGAGUGUGCGUCGCCUGUAUAUGCCCUAUCAAAAAGAAAGUUGGAGGAGAAUAGAGCCAAUGGGUGUCAUCAUCAGCCCAUUGGAGUUGCUACCUUGGUGCAAAAGCAAGAUAAAGUGGUGAGCGAGGGUUGAUUGUUUUCAUGUGGGUUGUUUUCCUUGCACUGGUUCUUACUACGAUGACCAAGUGGUUUAGGAUUUAGGAUUAUAAGUGUCGUUUUCGACUUUCAAGUGCCUUCAUGGAGGGUGCAGAAGCUUCUAGUGGCUUACAUUUUGUCUUGUGCUUGGAAGACUAUAUAAACUGUACUGUCGACUCACAAGUGUGCAAAUUAAAAGUGUGUUUUUAGGAGAAUUAUAGUACAAGGAUGAUUGCAUAUCCUGAUUGAAGCUGAUCGCAUGAAGCUUCUUUAAAUCCUUAACGAUAAGUGAGGAAAGAAGAAUUCAAACCCAAAAAAACCCAUAUAAUGAUUUAUCAAAUUCUUUAUCAUCUAAGUUGCUCAACAUCUUCUAGGGUUUGUAACUUUUUUUUAAACUACUGAUUUUUUUAGCAUUAUACAUAUUAGGGUUUGUCCUUGACCUUGGGUUGUGUUGUCUCUUAAACAUGGUUAAUCUUCUUUUGAGUUAUAUCUAAGGUGAUGGCAGCCUUCUUGUCCUCCUCUCCCACUAGUGAGUCAAUGUGAGUUAGAGACAUUUUAGGAUCAA
This is a long non-coding RNA of Musa acuminata AAA Group (dessert banana), 2825 nucleotides long. RefSeq lists it as uncharacterized. The record is from RefSeq and is a predicted model, not a curated record. NCBI's taxonomy places the organism in Eukaryota, Viridiplantae, Streptophyta, Magnoliopsida, Zingiberales, Musaceae. The transcript is spliced from 3 exons.